This 337-nucleotide long non-coding RNA is filed under the name Manihot esculenta (cassava). RNAcentral describes it as "long non-coding RNA (MESC_LNC004512)". Lineage: Eukaryota; Viridiplantae; Streptophyta; Magnoliopsida; Malpighiales; Euphorbiaceae. The record is from RNAcentral.
GUAGAAUGGGUACAACCGGUCUUUCUCUUAACAUAACAUAUCAUAACAUUCCAAUGUGCCAGGGAUGUAGAAUGGGUACAACCUGGACUUUCUCUUACAUCGUGCCAGGGACUUAGAAUGGGUACAACCUGAACUUCCAUACCAUAUCAUGCCGUAACAUCAUCAUGCCAUAUGAGGACUAAAGGAUCAUCCAAUAACCAAUCCACAUCAACAUCAUAAAUGCAAUGCAACAUAUUCGUGAAUACUAAUGCAAACAACCUACUAUAUCUCAUGGCAUUCAUGAUGCAUGGAUCAUGCUCGAAAUUCAUAUUUCAUUUAUUUUAAAACUUAAAGUUUA